Zingiber officinale is the source of this 846-nucleotide long non-coding RNA. RefSeq lists it as uncharacterized. Lineage: Eukaryota; Viridiplantae; Streptophyta; Magnoliopsida; Zingiberales; Zingiberaceae. The transcript has 2 exons. The record is from RefSeq and is a predicted model, not a curated record.
UCGAGGCUUUUUCUUUGUCACUGUUCGCGUCUUCUCCUCUCGUUUCUUCCCUGACACCCCCAUUCUCCUCUCCUUGCGAUUCUUCUUCAAUCCGACGAUGACAACAUCUCCGACGGCUUUUGUGAAGGCGACCACCUAUCUUAGGGUUCUUUAACGGUGGAAGGGUUCUUCUUCGGUGGUGGAGAACCCUCUCAUCUCUCAAGAAGAAGCGGCGGCUUCAAGCUAGGGUUCCGACCGGAGUGGUUAGCUUCGGCAGGGCUCUUCAUCAGGAGGAAGACAUUCCUAUUCCAUCCCUUCCUCAAAGGGGAUCUCUUGCAAACGUGGCUGUGAAUGCAGAGGACUCCACAGAGGAAGUCCUCUGUCCUUUCUUUUUCUCCGAAGUGAAGUUGACCUCAUUGCUCUUCUUUUUCUUCGGUGGAAACCUUUCUGAAUCCAACACUGUGUUACUGUGGAGGUCUUCUUCUAUGGAUGGCAUUGCAAAAGCAGAAGACUCCUCAAUCUCAGUUUGUGUACCAAUUUCCAGUUGAUCAGAGGUUAGUCAUUGAGUUGCUGUUCACUUGGGCCGGUGGUUCUAAAUCCGUGUCCUUUGUAUGACGGUAGAGGGUAGUUAUAUUGGUGUUUGAUCACGGAAGAGUGAUUUGGAUAGUUUAGUUUACUUUCUUGUUAAGUGUUUUUGUUUAGUUGUUAGUUUACUUUUGUGUUUGAUCUAUAGUUAUGUUAUGAUGCAUGAUAGAUUGUUUGUUAUUGCACUUUGUUAGUUUCAUUUAUAUAUGAUUGUUGAUCUUGUAUCAUAGAGUGACAAUGUGGUACAAGUUUAGUUUUAAUGCAUAAUUAGAUUUUGUUUAA